Molecule: non-coding RNA, 362 nt
Organism: Nylanderia fulva
Lineage: Eukaryota; Metazoa; Arthropoda; Insecta; Hymenoptera; Formicidae
Source: RefSeq, a predicted model, not a curated record
CUUCAUUGAAAAAAAUCAUCGAGAAAUAUACAGAAUGUCUUGCAAAGAGAAGCCUACAAGCAAAAACAAACACUAUUCAUUGAUGGAAAGGAAAUUAUUCUUACAAAUACUAGAAAAACAUGUAAUAGAAAUAAAAAAAAGCGACGGCACAACAUUAAAAGAUAAAGACCUUGCAUGGAGUGAAGUAUGUAAAGAAUACAAUCAAUCGGCACUAAUCUCUCAAGAAAGAACUUCAACAAUUGAAAAAAUUGUGGCCAAAUCUAAAGCAGUCGCAGAGAGAUGUAUUAACUAAAGAAAAACAAUCGCGUUUAGCAACUGGUGGAGGACCAGAAGAAACUGAAGCAAAAAUUGAUCCUGAUGUA